Molecule: ribosomal RNA, 296 nt
Filed under: uncultured bacterium
Lineage: Bacteria
Description: partial 16S ribosomal RNA
Rfam family: Bacterial small subunit ribosomal RNA
Source: RNAcentral
GGAUUAGAUACCCUGGUAGUCCACGCCGUAAACGAUGGGUACUAGUUGGUGCGGGUGUUGACCCCUGCGCUGACGCAGCUAACGCAUUAAGUACCCCGCCUGGGGAGUACGGCCGCAAGGCUAAAACUCAAAGGAAUUGACGGGGGCCCGCACAAGCGGUGGAGCAUGUGGAUUAAUUCGAAGCAACGCGAAGAACCUUACCUGGCCUUGACAUCCUAGGAACCUGCCCGAAAAGGCGGGGUGCCCUUCGGGGAAUCUAGUGACAGGUGCUGCAUGGCUGUCGUCAGCUCGUGCCG